This 468-nucleotide ribosomal RNA is filed under the name uncultured bacterium. RNAcentral describes it as "partial 16S ribosomal RNA". It matches the Rfam family "Bacterial small subunit ribosomal RNA", at positions 28 to 507 of the family's 1533-position model. The record is from RNAcentral.
GACGAACGCUGGCGGCGUGCUUAACACAUGCAAGUCGAACGGAAAGGCCCUGCUUUUGUGGGGUGCUCGAGUGGCGAACGGGUGAGUAACACGUGAGUAACCUGCCCUUGACUUUGGGAUAACUUCAGGAAACUGGGGCUAAUACCGGAUAGGAUCUCCUGCUGCAUGGUGGGGGUUGGAAAGUUUCGGCGGUUGGGGAUGGACUCGCGGCUUAUCAGCUUGUUUGUGGGGUAGUGGCUUACCAAGGCUUUGACGGGUAGCCGGCCUGAGAGGGUGACCGGCCACAUUGGGACUGAGAUACGGACCAGAAUCCUACGGGAGGCAGCAGUGGGGAAUAUUGCACAAUGGGCGGAAGCCUGAUGCAGCAACGCCGCGUGCGGGAUGACGGCCUUCGGGUUGUAAACCGCUUUCGCCUGUGACGAAGCGUGAGUGACGGUAAUGGGUAAAGAAGCACCGGCUAACUACGUG